This is a non-coding RNA of Podarcis lilfordi (Lilford's wall lizard), 765 nucleotides long. The record is from the annotation of a GenBank genome assembly. Lineage: Eukaryota; Metazoa; Chordata; Lepidosauria; Squamata; Lacertidae.
GUACCACUGUACUGCCCUUCGCAUAGUACAUAAAUCCAUAAAACAACACAGUCCUUAAACUACACUACCACUCAUAACAAUUCAUUAAAUAGUAAUUUACAAAAACAAAAACAAAAAAAACAAAACACAGCAGCAGCAACUAAUCCAUUUAUCUAAUCAGGUCUCCAACACUCCCACCCAAAAAAUUGUGGUGGGGUGUGUAUUUACCAACAAUCUAAAAUGGUAAAGAUGCACCUCAGAAUGGAGAGAGCUAACACAGGUGAGGAGACACCUCUGAAAAGGCCACCACGCCAUGUGAUACAUGAUGUGUAGAGACCAUGUAGGGGUUUAAACAUGGUUUCAAAUCCAUACAAUGGAAAUUAUAUGAGCUUUAGAGAGCCUGUCCCACCCACUGUUUGUUUGCCAAUGGGAAAUUUCCUCCAAAAGCAAAUGCCAGCUUCUGAAAAAGGGUUUUCAUUGGGGCUGCAAGGAGUGAAAGGGUUACAUUCCUGCUCUGUGCCUGCCUUGAUCCUAUUAUCAGCUCCCCACCCUCCACAACCUGAUACAAUUUGUAAUUCAGAAAACCAGCACAUUAUAUGCAGAGUCGCAUUUAACAUCACAAGUAGUUGGGCCCUUAGAAACUGUAUACUGAUGGUACAGAGAGAAAGGUUUAACAGCACUAAGCUGUUAGUAUGUAUGAAACUGGUCUCGCUCUCCAGCAAACAGACAGUGAAACACGAUAUAAGUUGUUUCUUUUCUUAGACCAUACAUAGCAAAUGUGAGUAC